GUUGAACCCAGUCUGAUCAAUUGAACCAUCAUGGACCAUAUGAGGCAAUGGUCCAUGUUAGAAUUAGUCAUGUUUUCGCCCCAUUGUUACAUUCCUCAUACAUAUAACUUUGCGAGGUCCAAAAUUCUUUUUAUCCAUUUAUUGUCAUGAAAAGGUUAGACAAAUUUAGUUAAAAUUAUGAAAUAUUAUGAUUCGACGGUUUUUUAAAUGACCUCGUUACUAAGUAUCUUAGAGGGACAAAGACAAUACAUUGAUUUAAUUAACAUAAUUUGAUAAUAAUAUUGAUUUUAGUGUGUUUUACAACUUCAUAUGUGCGAUUUUUUAAAAUUAUUUUAAGGAGUGCAUGAGAUUCACAUAUUAUAAAAGUGAUCAAAUCUUGUUUUAUGUGUAACAUAAAAAGAGAGGAAAGUUUACUAAAAAAAAUAAAAAGAGAGGAAAAUAUGGUUGCGAUAUACAAGUUGAUUUAUGCUAUGUUUCUAUUUCUUUCUCUAAUACUUAUUAUAAUGAAUGUUGAUGCAUUUUCGGGAUGUAUUAGUGACUUCGAUUGUGAAAGUGCUAAGUGUUGUGCAAAUUGUGGUAUGAUAUGUCUAAAUAAUCGGUGUCAAUGUAUAAAACAGCACUAGUUCUAUAAGUACAAGAUCAAAGAGAGUACACCAAGACCUUAUAUCGCAUCCGCAAUAUUAAUCCAUUAGUUGUUAUAAAAUUAUUAUUGUGGAACCAAAUAAAUGUAUUUUUUUUUUCUUCCUAAUUUCAUAAACCUUGUAGUUAUCGUUUUUGUACUCUCUAAUAAGAUGAUUGUAGUGAAAUGAAAUAUGGUCAUUAAAGAUAGUCAAUAAUUACUUAAUAACAUGCAGUGAAAUUAAUUUAAAAACUUCACACAACAA
Molecule: long non-coding RNA, 884 nt
Organism: Trifolium pratense (red clover)
Lineage: Eukaryota; Viridiplantae; Streptophyta; Magnoliopsida; Fabales; Fabaceae
Exons: 2
Source: RefSeq, a predicted model, not a curated record